Lycium barbarum (goji berry) is the source of this 703-nucleotide long non-coding RNA. RefSeq lists it as uncharacterized. The transcript is spliced from 3 exons. NCBI's taxonomy places the organism in Eukaryota, Viridiplantae, Streptophyta, Magnoliopsida, Solanales, Solanaceae. The record is from RefSeq and is a predicted model, not a curated record.
AAGAACAACAAAAAAAAAAAAAAAAAAGAGAGGGUUCGGCCAAGGUAUGGCCAAGCAUGGCCAUGGGAGAUUUGAUCAAGAAAAAUUAUUUCUUUCAAGCUUUUAUACUAAGUGGAAGGUUCUCUACAACGUGGAGUAUUCGUUGGAACAAGUGAAUCAUUCGUUUCGCAAAAAUGAGGUUCUAGCCGGGAAAAGGAACUAGUGCUAAGAUUAACAAGUUGGACGAAUAAGCGUAGCAAGUAAGGCGCGGCGCAGGUACACCCAGAUGAGCUGAGGCCCUUAUAGAAGAUGUUCCAGCGAAGUUGGCGAGCUCCAGUUAGCCCGGGAGUGUAGCCGAGUCAGUGUAUAUGUGCCAUGGUUUCCGAAUUGAGCUAGAGACUUUGCAGACAGAGUCGUGGGUAUAGAGCGUCAGCUUUGUAGACGGCUUCGCCUGUCAAUAUGUUAUUACGUUUCAUGUCACGCGUUCCAUAUGAUGAUACACUCUCCAAAAAAAAAAAAAAUUGAGAGCUUACUAUGCAUUUUAUUCUGAAUUGAUUCCAGAGUUUAUUUAUGUAAUAAGAGUCAGCGGGUUCGCUCGACUCCAGAUAUGGGGUCGGGUGCCCAUCACACCCUAGUAAGGUCGGGGUGUGGCAAAUACGUUGCUGCAUUAUUUGAUCGUUUUAACACGACUUGUAUUGCAUACCAUUUUAAUGCGCAAUGUCAA